UACGUAGGGGGCAAGCGUUGUCCGGAAUCAUUGGGCGUAAAGCGCGUGUAGGCGGUUCGCAAAGUCUGGUGUGAAAACUUAGGGCUCAACCCUAAGCCUGCACUGGAUACUGGCGGACUUGAGUCCGGAAGAGGAGAGUGGAAUUCCUGGUGUAGCGGUGGAAUGCGCAGAUAUCAGGAGGAACACCGAUGGCGAAGGCAGGUCUCUGGGCAUUAACUGACGCUGAGGAGCGAAAGCAUGGGGAGCGAACAGG
RNAcentral lists this ribosomal RNA (253 nucleotides) under uncultured bacterium. RNAcentral's name for it is "partial 16S ribosomal RNA". It matches the Rfam family "Bacterial small subunit ribosomal RNA", at positions 524 to 776 of the family's 1533-position model. The record is from RNAcentral.